RNAcentral lists this unclassified non-coding RNA (676 nucleotides) under Hevea brasiliensis (rubber tree). The record is from RNAcentral. Lineage: Eukaryota; Viridiplantae; Streptophyta; Magnoliopsida; Malpighiales; Euphorbiaceae.
UCCCAUAACCUAAGAACUCCAUUACGACCACCGCUGCAUAUCCUCUUCCUUUCAAGAUCAGAGGCCACACAUCUCACCAUAGCAACUGUUUUUUGUGGGGUUCUGUAAAGCUGCCACCCAGACAUUUUUGAGCCAGUGCUGGAGAGGCCAAGUCGUUCUUGAGGUCGUUGGAAUAGAGACAUGGAAUUGUCAGCUGCUCCAAUUCCUAACCAGUGCUCCCCAGCAUUGAUAGAUAAAAUAGCAGCAUUAUGAAUGGUUACAUUCUUCACACAUCUUAUACCUUCUUCCUCAUUUUCCCAAAAUCGGAGUAGCCCAUCAGUUGAACCUGUUAUUAUUCCUCUGUCUAGCAUGGAACACUCAACGCAUAAAAUAGGACCAGCAUGGCAUGCUAGAACGGCAUCACAUGUUCCUCUUGNNNNNNNNNUCUUGCCGUCCAAUCAUCACUACCAGUAACCAGUGUGUCUCCAACCAUUCUAAUUGACCGAAUCCAUUUUAAAUGUCCUAACAGCUUGUGCAUUUGCCUACCAGCACGGAUGUCCCAGAUGUUUGCAACCGCAUCUCUACCAGCGGCAGCCAGGAUGCCAGUGGAAUCAUCAUACUCCAUGCAUAGGACUGCACUAGAGCAACGACCAACUGUUGCUACACAGGUAUCAGUUCGAACAUCCCACAUCUUCAC